RNAcentral lists this ribosomal RNA (253 nucleotides) under uncultured bacterium. Its description in RNAcentral is "partial 16S ribosomal RNA". It matches the Rfam family "Bacterial small subunit ribosomal RNA", at positions 524 to 776 of the family's 1533-position model. The record is from RNAcentral.
UACGAAGGGGGCUAGCGUUGCUCGGAAUUACUGGGCGUAAAGGGCGCGUAGGCGGACAGUUUAGUCAGAGGUUAAAGCCCAGGGCUCAACCUUGGAAUCGCCUUUGAUACUGGCUGUCUUGAGUACGGGAGAGGUGUGUGGAACUCCGAGUGUAGAGGUGAAAUUCGUAGAUAUUCGGAAGAACACCAGUGGCGAAGGCGACACACUGGCCCGUUACUGACGCUGAGGCGCGAAAGCGUGGGGAGCAAACAGG